Molecule: ribosomal RNA, 584 nt
Filed under: uncultured bacterium
Lineage: Bacteria
Description: bacterial SSU rRNA
Rfam family: Bacterial small subunit ribosomal RNA
Source: RNAcentral
AGGCAAUGAUGCAUAGCCGAGUUGAGAGACUGAUCGGCCACAUUGGGACUGAGACACGGCCCAAACUCCUACGGGAGGCAGCAGUAGGGAAUCUUCCACAAUGGACGAAAGUCUGAUGGAGCAACGCCGCGUGAGUGAAGAAGGGUUUCGGCUCGUAAAGCUCUGUUGGUAGUGAAGAAAGAUAGAGGUAGUAACUGGCCUUUAUUUGACGGUAAUUACUUAGAAAGUCACGGCUAACUACGUGCCAGCAGCCGCGGUAAUACGUAGGUGGCAAGCGUUGUCCGGAUUUAUUGGGCGUAAAGCGAGUGCAGGCGGUUCAAUAAGUCUGAUGUGAAAGCCUUCGGCUCAACCGGAGAAUUGCAUCAGAAACUGUUGAACUUGAGUGCAGAAGAGGAGAGUGGAACUCCAUGUGUAGCGGUGGAAUGCGUAGAUAUAUGGAAGAACACCAGUGGCGAAGGCGGCUCUCUGGUCUGCAACUGACGCUGAGGCUCGAAAGCAUGGGUAGCGAACAGGAUUAGAUACCCUGGUAGUCCAUGCCGUAAACGAUGAGUGCUAAGUGUUGGGAGGUUUCCGCCUCUCAGUGC